This 177-nucleotide non-coding RNA is filed under the name Candidatus Daviesbacteria bacterium GW2011_GWA1_38_7. RNAcentral also lists the same sequence under 1 other name. The record is from RNAcentral. Lineage: Bacteria; Candidatus Daviesiibacteriota.
UUAGAAAACUUAUAGCACCUUAUAUAAUUCCAAAGAUGAAAUAUAAAAUAGAGCGUCGCAGCCCCGUAGAGACUUAGAUGGAAGGUACCAGAUAAUCUGGAAUUAAACUUCUAUUAAACGUCGGCUCCCGAUGUACAUCGGGAUGAAGAUAUAGUCCAUGCCCUCAGUAAUGAGUGG